CGAGCUUCGUCGACAGUGGAGCCACUUUGGAGCGAACGGGCCGGCGAAGACGACGAGUGCGGAAGUAUAAGAAGACUAGA
This 80-nucleotide non-coding RNA is filed under the name Rhodosorus marinus. The record is from RNAcentral. Lineage: Eukaryota; Rhodophyta; Stylonematophyceae; Stylonematales; Stylonemataceae.